ACGCUCGACACCUACGGGAGGCUGCAGUGGGGAAUAUUGCACAAUGGGGGAAACCCUGAUGCAGCGACGCCGCGUGAGCGAAGAAGUAUUUCGGUAUGUAAAGCUCUAUCAGCAGGGAAGAAGAAAGACGGUACCUGACUAAGAAGCCCCGGCUAACUACGUACACNCAGCGCGGUAAGUACUGAGCGGGCGUGGCGAAGGACG
Molecule: ribosomal RNA, 204 nt
Filed under: uncultured bacterium
Lineage: Bacteria
Description: partial 16S ribosomal RNA
Rfam family: Bacterial small subunit ribosomal RNA
Source: RNAcentral